ACUUAGUGGCAGACGGGUGAGUAACAUGUGGGUAUCUACCCUUUGGCCUGGAAUAACACGAGGAAACUUGUGCUAAUACCGGAUAAGUCUUUACGGAGAAAGCUUUAUGCACCAUUGGAUGAGCCCGCACUUGAUUAGUUUGUUGGUAGGGUAAUGGCCUACCAAGACUAUGAUCAAUAGCUGAUUUGAGAGGAUGAUCAGCCACAUUGGGACUGAGACACGGCCCAAACUCCUACGGGAGGCAGCAGUGGGGAAUCUUGCACAAUGGAGGAAACUCUGAUGCAGCGAUGCCGCGUGAGUGAAGAAGGCCUUUGGGUUGUAAAGCUCUUUCGUCGGGGAAGAAAAUGACUGUACCCGAAUAAGAAGGUCCGGCUAACUUCGUGCCAGCAGCCGCGGUAAUACGAAGGGACCUAGCGUAGUUCGGAAUUACUGGGCUUAAAGAGUUCGU
This 448-nucleotide ribosomal RNA is filed under the name uncultured Pelagibacterales bacterium. RNAcentral describes it as "bacterial SSU rRNA". It matches the Rfam family "Bacterial small subunit ribosomal RNA", at positions 90 to 572 of the family's 1533-position model. The record is from RNAcentral. Lineage: Bacteria; Pseudomonadati; Pseudomonadota; Alphaproteobacteria; Candidatus Pelagibacterales.